AUACGGAGGGUGCAAGCGUUAAUCGGAAUUACUGGGCGUAAAGCGCGCGUAGGCGGUUUAGUAAGUCGGAUGUGAAAGCCCCGGGCUCAACCUUGGAACUGCAUUUGAAACUGGCAUACUAGAGUAUAGGAGAGGAAAGUGGAAUUUCAGGUGUAGCGGUGAAAUGCGUAGAUAUCUGAAGGAACAUCAAUGGCGAAGGCAGCUUUCUGGACUAAUACUGACACUGAGGUACGAAAGCGUGGGUAGCAAACAGGAUUAGAAACCCUAGUAGUCC
Molecule: ribosomal RNA, 274 nt
Filed under: uncultured bacterium
Lineage: Bacteria
Description: partial 16S ribosomal RNA
Rfam family: Bacterial small subunit ribosomal RNA
Source: RNAcentral